This 253-nucleotide ribosomal RNA is filed under the name uncultured bacterium. RNAcentral describes it as "partial 16S ribosomal RNA". It matches the Rfam family "Bacterial small subunit ribosomal RNA", at positions 524 to 776 of the family's 1533-position model. The record is from RNAcentral.
GACGUAGGGAGCGAGCGUUGUCCGGAUUCAUUGGGCGUAAAGAGCGCGCAGGCGGUUUGGUAAGUCGGAUGUGAAAGCCCGGGGCUCAACUCCGGAACUGCCUUUAAGACUGCAUCGCUUGAAUCCAGGAGAGGUGAGUGGAAUUCCGAGUGUAGAGGUGAAAUUCGUAGAUAUUCGGAAGAACACCAGUGGCGAAGGCGGCUCACUGGACCGGCAUUGACGCUGAGGUGCGAAAGCGUGGGGAGCAAACAGG